This is a long non-coding RNA of Solanum tuberosum (potato), 177 nucleotides long. RefSeq lists it as uncharacterized. The transcript has 2 exons. The record is from RefSeq and is a predicted model, not a curated record. NCBI's taxonomy places the organism in Eukaryota, Viridiplantae, Streptophyta, Magnoliopsida, Solanales, Solanaceae.
GACCAAUUGAAGGGGUGGUUCUUCUUCUUCCUCGUCUCAGGGCUGCCAUACACAUUACACUCUCCAGACCCCACUUGUGGGAUUACAAUGGGUAUGUUGUUGCAUAUUUUGGCCGUUUUCUGUAUUGAGUUACAAGGUCUAUUUUAUAUUAAUUUGGAAAGCAAAAUGUCGAUACUA